AAGACUAUACUUUCAGGGAUCAUUUCUAUAGUUCGUUAAAAUGAUUGCAACUAUUCAUUGCACUAUUCUAUGAUUAGGCUCUGCAUUUGAUUAACAGAUAUUUGUUAAUGGUCAUAAGUCCCACUGAGAGGGGCAGAAGAGCUCUUUAAUGCUUGAAGUAUAUAAAAGCUUCCAGAUACAGCUUAAGGUGAAUCUUGAAAUAUGAGUAGG
Cynocephalus volans (Philippine flying lemur) is the source of this 210-nucleotide small nucleolar RNA. RefSeq annotates it as small nucleolar RNA U3. The transcript has a single exon. NCBI's taxonomy places the organism in Eukaryota, Metazoa, Chordata, Mammalia, Dermoptera, Cynocephalidae. The record is from RefSeq and is a predicted model, not a curated record.